RNAcentral lists this long non-coding RNA (2511 nucleotides) under Sus scrofa (pig). RNAcentral describes it as "lncRNA (ENSSSCG00050035157.1)". Lineage: Eukaryota; Metazoa; Chordata; Mammalia; Artiodactyla; Suidae. The record is from RNAcentral.
CAGUCCAUGCACUUGACAGCCUUGCACUGCCUCUGCUUCCCCACCAAGGAAAAGCCCUCAAGAGCCUGCACAGCAAGACUGCAGCCAGGACCAUGACGUCAGUGCCACCCAGAAGCUGCUUGUCCUUCCAGAUCCUUCCAUGGGGAACAGAGGCUUUCAUUCCUCCAAUAGAGAUGCUGCUGAUGUGUGAACCAGAGCUUUGCAGCCUCUGUGUCCACCGGAUCAAGAGGUGUAUGAACAGACGGAUCCACGCAGGCCUCGGGCACGUGGACGGGGCUCAGAGCCACACUCCCCACCCUGACCAACCAGCCCCCUCUAGCCUUGGGUGGUGGUCCCAGCGACAGUACAAACGUCACCGUUCCCUAUGACGGACAGGAAGUGAAGAUAGUCAGAGGGCAGCAGAUCGUCCUGGUGAGCAGAUUUUCAACAGCGUGAGUUCUGCCAGAGGCACCCCACCCCCUCAGCUUUUUAGCCAGCCCGUCACUACCUGCAGGAGGUGGGGCCAGGGCUUUGGUGAAGAAAGAUUUGCAUAAAUCCAGCCAUCCCAGAAUCCUCCCUGGUCAAUUUUUUUUUUCCCCAUUCUUAUCCAAGAAGAGUCCAAGACUCUUAUCCAAGAGAAGAGUCUGCCUCAGCCAGCCUCAUGUCCUUCCUCUUCUCUGGCCCUGUGCUCGGAAUUCGGGAGCAGAUGUGGCAGCCUGUGACUGUGCCCUUUAGCCCUGGUGGCGGGGGACACCUCCCGUUACCAUUCAGCAGGAAGACUCCAGAACUGACAACCAGGCUUACCUCUGGCAGUUCCAUCAACAAAGUCCUCCUCCCCCCACAUUGAAGGGAUUAUUUUAAAAAUGAGAAUGUGAUAGAUUUUCUAAGCCAGAGCUAUAUUGCUUUCCCCCAAAGCAGUUUUCAAACAUUUCAAAAAUGUUAGCUAGUGAGUCCAAAAGCUCCUUUUAUUCUUUCUGUUUUCUCCCACUCUGAAAAUACACACAUGUAGAUCUGUGUACACAGCACACUUGAAGGCAUAUUUUCCAGGAUGUAACUAACAAAGGGAAGAAUGUGGUGGUGGUUGGAAUUCUGGCGCUUGCAAGACAUGGGUCUGUGCUCUGCAUUUCAGUACAGAGGUGAUCACACUGUUAUGGGCAGAGCAUCUGCUCCCUUCACCUGCAGCCUCCACCCUCCUCUUCCUCUGCUCCCUGACCUGACCCGAGAGGCGUUUGAACUAACACGAUCAAGGUGUCGGGACCAGUAUCCCACCCUCCCGCCACCGUGCUUGGCAAGUUCCCAGGGCCUGCAAGUCACACACGGGCCAAGUCGUGGCCUCUUUCCAACAAAAUGGGUACAUGUCCAUGUCAGGCCCAUCUUGCUGCCCUUCAUUAUAACUGUGGUCAAGGAGAAAGGAGUAAGUAGGCUUGGGUACUACAAGGCAAAGCAAUAUUCGAAAGUUUAACAUAUGCUUAUUUUCUAAAAUGUAAGACCUCCAUGGUGAUUGGGGGACUUGGGUGCCCGUCUUCAAUUCUUGUGCCGCAAAGGCCGGGAGGAAACCAUCCCUUUCCCAGGUGCUCUGACCUUGGCCUUGGGAUGCGUGGGCCCACUCCCCAUGUACAGAGGCGGCAUCCUUUGCACAUGGCAGGGCUGUGCGGAGAAACGGGCCCCUGGUGCCUGGGACAUUCCUUCACAGAGGCUCUCCUAGCAACAUGGCGACGCCAGCCAACCCAACAAUGACCUUUUGUCUCUAGCUCUCCUCAGCUCUGUGGCCAUUAGUCUCACCAGAAAACUCAAAGGAUAUUUUGCAAGAGAAGAGUGGUUGCGAGCUAAAGCUCUGAAUCAGUUGCUUUCCUCUGCUUUCUGCAAAUAUCAAACUGGGCUUGCGCCAGAUGAUCGCUUUAGGAGCAGGAAGUACCUAGAGAGGUGCCCUGGAUGGGGGAAAGCUGAGUCUGGAUGGCCCGCGUCCUGGCUCUGGGUAGGGAAGCCCCUCUGUACCACAUCCCUGAACUGUCUGGACCUUAGUGUCCUCAUCUUCCAAAUGAAGCACUAAUUCUCAACAGCGCAGAGUCCUUGCUAACAGUCCAGAUUCCCGAGCCAACAGUAGUUCCCCUGCUGACUCAGAAUCUCUGGGACUGAGCUCUGCCAACGUGACUUUUCACCAAAGGCCAAUAUAGACCUUGCUGAACAAUUGUAAAAACGCUUAGGUAAUUAACUUUCUAAUUUUGUUUACUUGGCACGAGAGGACCAACACACACACACUCAGGAUUGGUAUGCUACAUGCAUUGUGGGGAAUGUGUUUUUUUCUCGGAUAGAUUUUGCAAAGGACAGAACCAGCCCAUUUUCUUUGCUGUUCCUGGUUAGUUUUCUUCUAUACAAGAAUGUAAAUCAUGCCUCUCUAUCGGCAAAUCACUUUGGACUGUGUGCUUCCAAUAGAUACACUUUAAAAAUUUUGAUAUAUCUGUAUUUACUUAUAUUUUGCUUUAGUAUGAACAUGUUACGACUGUGUUCCUAAUGUUAAAAAAAUAAAUGUUU